RNAcentral lists this ribosomal RNA (115 nucleotides) under Oreochromis niloticus (Nile tilapia). Lineage: Eukaryota; Metazoa; Chordata; Actinopteri; Cichliformes; Cichlidae. The record is from RNAcentral.
GCUUACGGCCAUACCCUGAACGCGCCCGAUCUCGUCUGAUCUCGGAAGCCAAGCAGGGUCGGGCCUGGUCAGUACUUGACGGGAGACCGCCUGGGAAUACCAGGUGCUGUAAGCU